Molecule: long non-coding RNA, 381 nt
Filed under: Phaseolus vulgaris (common bean)
Lineage: Eukaryota; Viridiplantae; Streptophyta; Magnoliopsida; Fabales; Fabaceae
Description: long non-coding RNA (PVUL_LNC004441)
Source: RNAcentral
UUUUUUACAAGCAAUGUUGAACACUUGGUGAUAUCUUUGGUCACGGUUAUAGCUCUCUUCAUGAGAAUGAUGGUGAUGCCUCCUUCUUCUAUGUUCUUCUUCACCAAGGACUGAAGCUUUGGAAGGAGAAUGCUGUUUGUAAGAUGCACCACUUGAAUAGCCAGCCAUUUUGCAAAUAAAAAACAGCAAACACACAAAAACAGCAAACAAGUUAAGAAACAAAAUUAGCAAAAACAGUGAGCUUGGCAAUGAAAUUGCCGAAGUGAAUGGAGGCAGAAAAAAGAGGUCACUCUCAAAGAAAAAAUGUUCUUGCACCAAUCUGAUCUUGAGGCCUUGGAAUCCUCAAAUGAAAUAUGUCAAAGCAAGCACACCAAUCUCAAA